AUAAACUCAGUAUCAUUUUUUGAUAUCAAAUUUAGUUACCAAUUUAGUACUAGAACCAAAUUACUUCACAAACCACAGUCCGUUGUGACCAACAACCCUGGCAGAAAAUUUAGAGUAGCUCUAACUUUGGCCCCUGGAGAAUAAUUAAGAUGCCUUUUGAUAUGCUGGUGAUGAAACUAGGUGGUCUUCAGAAACCUCCCUGAAACAAAGGCUGAUUCCCACACCCCAAAAUGUCACCAGAGCCUGAGUCUGAGGUGGGUCCACAGCUCUCACCUAGAUCUCUUGUCUCCACCAAACAGAGCACUUGCCUGGCUAUCAUGUUCUGUUACUGUUUGUAAAGGAAAAAUAGAAUAGAAAUGCAACACUAAAUUGCCCAUGUCACUGAGUAGAAAGUGUGCCAAUUAUAGUGCAGAUCAAAGUCGAUUUUUAAUAAAAGGCUUGUGUUUAGGCUUUGAUAA
RNAcentral lists this non-coding RNA (458 nucleotides) under Pongo abelii (Sumatran orangutan). Lineage: Eukaryota; Metazoa; Chordata; Mammalia; Primates; Hominidae. The record is from RNAcentral.